UACGUAGGGGGCAAGCGUUAUCCGGAUUUACUGGGUGUAAAGGGAGCGUAGACGGCCAGACAAGUCUGAAGUGAAAAUCCAGCGCUUAACGUUGGAAGUGCUUUGGAAACUGCCGGGCUAGAGUGCAGGAGGGGCAGGCGGAAUUCCUAGUGUAGCGGUGAAAUGCGUAGAUAUUAGGAGGAACACCAGUGGCGAAGGCGGCCUGCUGGACUGCAGCUGACGUUGAGGCUCGAAGGCGUGGGGAGCAAACAGG
This 253-nucleotide ribosomal RNA is filed under the name uncultured bacterium. RNAcentral describes it as "partial 16S ribosomal RNA". It matches the Rfam family "Bacterial small subunit ribosomal RNA", at positions 524 to 776 of the family's 1533-position model. The record is from RNAcentral.